Molecule: long non-coding RNA, 701 nt
Organism: Rhopalosiphum padi (bird cherry-oat aphid)
Lineage: Eukaryota; Metazoa; Arthropoda; Insecta; Hemiptera; Aphididae
Exons: 3
Source: RefSeq, a predicted model, not a curated record
GAUGCAAAUACAGCAGAUCACUCAAGGGAUGCUGAAACAUUUUUUGGUAUUCAAACAACUCUGGAAAAAUGCAAAUACAGCAGAUCACUCAAGGGAUGUUGAAACAUUAUUUGGUAUUCAAACAACCCUGGAAAAAUGCAAAUACAGCUGAUCACUCAAGGGAUGCUAAAACAUUUUUUGGUAUUCAAACAACUCUGGAAAAGUAUGAACAUCCAAUUUUGAAAAUGAACUAAAAGAUACUGAUUAUAAAGAAUUUAUGCAAUGUACGUGUAAUGGUUAUUAGGUAUAGUUGAUAGAAAAUUAAUAGCAAUGUAACUAAAAGUUACUCAAAUGCUUCCCUGACCAUAAUAUUAAGAAAAUGAUUCUGAUUUAUUAUUAUUAACUUUCAUACAUCUCAUUUAAGCAGAUUUUUCAUAAACACUAUAAAACAUGAUUUUAUAUGAUAAUUUUGAUGAAUAAUAUACAAUUAUUUUUUGAACUGCUUAUAAAACACACAAUUCUCAAGUUAAUCUCUUGAAACCUGGACCAUUAUAUUAAGAAAAUGAUUCUGAUUUAUUAUUAUUAACUUUCAUACAUCUCAUUUAAGCAGAUUUUUCAUAAACACUAUAAAACAUGAUUUUAUAUGAUAAUUUUGAUAAAUAAUAUACAUUUAUUUUUUGAUCUGCUUAUAAAACAAACAAUUCUCAAGAUAAUCUCUUGAA